CCUACGGGGGGCAGCAGUGGGGGAUAUUGCACAAUGGAGGAAACUCUGAUGCAGCAACGCCGCGUGAGGGAAGAAGGUCUUCGGAUUGUAAACCUCUGUCCUCAGGGACGAUAAUGACGGUACCUGAGGAGGAAGCUCCGGCUAACUACGUGCCAGCAGCCGCGGUAAUACGUGGGGAGCAAGCGUUGUCCGGAUUUACUGGGAGUAAAGGGUGCGUAGGCGGCCCUGCAAGUCAGGUGUGAAAACUAUGGGCUUAACUCAUAGAUUGCACUUGAAACUGUGGGGCUUGAGUGAAGUAGAGGCAGGGGGAAUUUGCGGUGGAGCGGUGAAAUGCGUAGAUAUCGGGUAGAACAACAGUGGCUAAGGCGGCGUGCUAUGCUUUAACUGACGCUGAGGCAGGAAAGCGUAGGUAGAAAACAGGAUUAGGUACCCUAGUAGUC
RNAcentral lists this ribosomal RNA (440 nucleotides) under uncultured bacterium. RNAcentral's name for it is "bacterial SSU rRNA". It matches the Rfam family "Bacterial small subunit ribosomal RNA", at positions 338 to 795 of the family's 1533-position model. The record is from RNAcentral.